This 220-nucleotide ribosomal RNA is filed under the name uncultured prokaryote. RNAcentral describes it as "partial 16S ribosomal RNA". It matches the Rfam family "Bacterial small subunit ribosomal RNA", at positions 524 to 743 of the family's 1533-position model. The record is from RNAcentral.
UACGUAGGCAGCAAGCGUUGUUCGGAGUUACUGGGCGUAAAGGGUGUGUAGGCGGCCUUCUAAGUUUGGCGUGAAAUCUCCCGGCUCAACCGGGAGGGUGCGCCGAAGACUGGGGGGCUAGAGUGCGGGAUGGGAGAGUAGAAUUCCUGGUGUAGCAGUGAAAUGCGUAGAGAUCGGAAGGAACGUCAAUGGCGAAGGCAGCUACCUGGCCAAAUACUGA